GCAGCCGCGGUAAUACGAAGGGACCUAGCGUAGUUCGGAAUUACUGGGCUUAAAGAGUUCGUAGGUGGUUAAAAAAGUUGGUGGUGAAAUCCCAGAGCUUAACUCUGGAACUGCCAUCAAAACUUUUUAGCUAGAGUAUGAUAGAGGAAAGCAGAAUUUCUAGUGUAGAGGUGAAAUUCGUAGAUAUUAGAAAGAAUACCGAUUGCGAAGGCAGCUUUCUGGAUCAUUACUGACACUGAGGAACGAAAGCAUGGGUAGCGAAGAGGAUUAGAUACCCUCGUAGUCCAUGCCGUAAACGAUGUGUGUUAGACGUUGGAAAUUUAUUUUCUGUGUCGCAGCGAAAGCAAUAAACACACCGCCUGGGGAGUACGACCGCAAGGUUAAAACUCAAAUGAAUUGACGGGGACCCGCACAAGUAGUGGAGCAUGUGGUUUAAUUCGAAGAUACGCGCAGAACCUUACCAACACUUGACAUGUUCGUCGCGACUUUAAGAGAUUAAAGUUUUCGGUUCGGCCGGACGAAACACAGGUGCUGCAUGGCUGUCGUCAGCUCGUGUCGUGAGAUGUUGGGUUAAGUCCCGCAACGAGCGCAACCCUCACUUUUAGUUGCCAUCAUUUAGUUGGGCACUCUGAAAGAACUGCCAGUGAUAAGCUGGAGGAAGGUGGGGAUGACGUCAAGUCCUCAUGGCCCUUACGUGUUGGGCUACACACGUGCUACAAUGGCAUUUACAAUAGGAAGCAAGACGGCGACGUUAAGCAAAUCCUAAAAAAAUGCCUCAGUUCGGAUUGUACUCUGCAACUCGAGUACAUGAAGCUGGAAUUACUAGUAAUCGCGGAUCAGCGCGCCGCGGUGAAUACGUUCCCGGGUCUUGUACACACCGCCCGUCACACCAUGGGAGUUGGUUCUACCUUAAGGCAAAGUUUAAUACCUUUGACCACGGUAUAGUCAGCGACUGGGGUGAAGUCGUAACAAGGUAGCCGUAGGGGAACCUGCGGCUG
RNAcentral lists this ribosomal RNA (998 nucleotides) under marine metagenome. Its description in RNAcentral is "bacterial SSU rRNA". It matches the Rfam family "Bacterial small subunit ribosomal RNA", at positions 511 to 1520 of the family's 1533-position model. The record is from RNAcentral.